GGAGAAGAUCGGUCUGUCGCAUUUGCCCUAGAGGCAGGUGAGGAACGUCCGAGCAACGCAGAGCUCCAUACUUCCUAACGGGAAGCCGUCCGUGAGGGCAGAGUAGUGUAACAGAAAAGAACCGCCACAGAGGAGUCAAUCCCUCGGGAGCGACCUCUGUCGGUAAGGGUGAAAAGGUGAGGUAAGAGCUCACCGCCAGCCCUGGCAACAGGCUGGGCCGUACACCUUAUGGGUUGCAAGAUCAUGUAAACCGACGUUAUGAGGGUUGCUCGCCCCAUGUCGGAGGGUAGAUCGCUAGAGCCAGGUGGAGACAUCUGGCCCAGAUAAAUGACAGACGCCUCGAGGCCUCGGCCUUGGGGUACAGAACUCGGCUUAUAGAUCCUCUCCCCCC
RNAcentral lists this RNase P RNA (391 nucleotides) under Porphyromonas sp. COT-239 OH1446. RNAcentral's name for it is "Bacterial RNase P class A". It matches the Rfam family "Bacterial RNase P class A". From Rfam's summary of the family: Ribonuclease P (RNase P) is a ubiquitous endoribonuclease, found in archaea, bacteria and eukarya as well as chloroplasts and mitochondria. Its best characterised activity is the generation of mature 5'-ends of tRNAs by cleaving the 5'-leader elements of precursor-tRNAs. Cellular RNase Ps are ribonucleoproteins. Lineage: Bacteria; Pseudomonadati; Bacteroidota; Bacteroidia; Bacteroidales; Porphyromonadaceae. The record is from Rfam by way of RNAcentral.